CAAGUCGCGCGACAAGCCAUUUUUAGCUUGCUAUUAAUGGUGGAGGAGCGGCGUAAGGGAGAGUAACGGGUGGAUUAUCUGCCCUCAGGUCCGGGAUAGCUGUGGGAAACUGCAAGUAAUACCGGAUAACAUCUGCGGAUCAAAGGUGUGAUUCCGCCUGGGGAUGAGUCCGCCUCCUAUUAGCUUGUUGGUGGGGUAAUGGCCUACCAAGGCUACGAUGGGUACCGGGUGUGAGAGCAUGGCCCGGCUCACUGGGACUGAAACACUGCCCAGACACCUACGGGUGGCUGCAGUCGAGAAUCUUCGGCAAUGGGCGCAAGCCUGACCGAGCGAUGCCGCGUGCGGGAUGAAGGCCUUCGGGUUGUAAACCGCUGUCAGUAGGGAGGAAAUGUAUGGGGGUCAUCCCCCAUGCUUGACCUAUCUUCAGAGGAAGGACGGGCUAAGUUCGUGCCAGCAGCCGCGGUAAGACGAACCGUCCAAACGUUAAUCGGAAUUACUGGGCUUAAAGGGUGCGUAGGCGGCGCGGUCAGUCGGAUGUGAAAUCGUACAGCUCAACUGUACAACUGCGUCCGAAACUACCGUGCUUGAGGAAGGCAGAGGUGAGCGGAACUCA
This 613-nucleotide ribosomal RNA is filed under the name uncultured bacterium. RNAcentral describes it as "bacterial SSU rRNA". It matches the Rfam family "Bacterial small subunit ribosomal RNA", at positions 58 to 670 of the family's 1533-position model. The record is from RNAcentral.